AUCAAGUGAUCCCAGUGGUCUCUUCUUCUUUUCUAUCCAGAAAAUUGAUUUUCUCAAGCUCUUCAUUUCUGAUAACAGGCAGCAAUCAAUAGACACCCAUUUUUCUUCCUUUACAAAAUUAUGGCUGCAAAAUCCCAGUUAGUUUCAGGAUUGACCUUGCCAUUGCCACCACCGCAUCCCACCACUUCGUCUUUGCCCUCCUCUAACCACAGCAGCAGCAGCAGCAGCAA
RNAcentral lists this unclassified non-coding RNA (230 nucleotides) under Hevea brasiliensis (rubber tree). Lineage: Eukaryota; Viridiplantae; Streptophyta; Magnoliopsida; Malpighiales; Euphorbiaceae. The record is from RNAcentral.